RNAcentral lists this ribosomal RNA (497 nucleotides) under uncultured bacterium. RNAcentral describes it as "partial 16S ribosomal RNA". It matches the Rfam family "Bacterial small subunit ribosomal RNA", at positions 28 to 507 of the family's 1533-position model. The record is from RNAcentral.
GAUGAACGCUGGCGGCGUGCCUAAUACAUGCAAGUCGAGCGAACAGAUGAGGAGCUUGCUCCUCUGACGUUAGCGGCGGACGGGUGAGUAACACGUGGAUAACCUACCUAUAAGACUGGGAUAACUUCGGGAAACCGGAGCUAAUACCGGAUAAUAUAUUGAACCGCAUGGUUCAAUAGUGAAAGACGGUUUUGCUGUCACUUAUAGAUGGAUCCGCGCCGCAUUAGCUAGUUGGAAAGGUAACGGCUUACCAAGGCAACGAUGCGUAGCCGACCGGAGAGGGUGAUAGGCCACACUGGAACUGAGACACGGACCAGACUCCUACGGGAGGCAGCAGUAGGGAAUCUUCCGCAAUGGGCGAAAGCCUGACGGAGCAACGCCGCGUGAGUGAUGAAGGUCUUCGGAGCGGAAAACUCUGUUAUUAGGGAAGAACAAAUGUGUAAGUAACUAUGCACGUCUUGACGGUACCUAAUCAGAAAGCCACGGCUAACUACGUG